GACGAACCGUCCGAACGUUAUUCGGUAUCACUGGGCUUAAAGCGUGCGUAGGCGGCCUGGUAGGUGAGAUGUGAAAGCCCACGGCUCAACCGUGGAAUUGCGUUUCAAACCACCAGGCUGGAGGAUGGCAGGGGUGAUGGGAACUGAUGGUGGAGCGGUGAAAUGCGUUGAUAUCAUCAGGAACACCGGUGGCGAAGGCGCAUCACUGGGCCAUUUCUGACGCUGAGGCACGAAAGCUAGGGUAGCGAACGGG
This 253-nucleotide ribosomal RNA is filed under the name uncultured bacterium. Its description in RNAcentral is "partial 16S ribosomal RNA". It matches the Rfam family "Bacterial small subunit ribosomal RNA", at positions 524 to 776 of the family's 1533-position model. The record is from RNAcentral.